Molecule: long non-coding RNA, 1345 nt
Filed under: Callithrix jacchus (white-tufted-ear marmoset)
Lineage: Eukaryota; Metazoa; Chordata; Mammalia; Primates; Cebidae
Description: lncRNA (ENSCJAG00000070995.1)
Source: RNAcentral
AAAGUGGAGUGAGGAAGAAGUUUGUUGAUUUGAAGGGACCGAGUUAGGGAGUGAAGUCCAGGUAAAAACUGAGGGACACAGAAAAGAAGACAAUGAGAUGAUGACUGUGUCGGGCUGAGAAUGAGCAGUGCAUUUCGGGCUGCUGAUUCGUACGAUGGACUGAAUAUUUGUGUCCUCCUAAAAUUAUACAUUGAAAUUCUAACCCACAGUGUAUUUGGAGAUGGAGAAUUUAAGAGGGUACAGUAGAAGUCACCAGUCUACAACCUAGAAGAGGCCCUUCACUAUGCUGGCACCCUGAUCUCAUAUUUCCAGCUUCCAGAACUGUAAGAAAUAAAUUUUUGUUGUUUAUGACCUAUCCAGUCUAUGCAGCCUGAACUAAGACUCUUGGCAGUGGAUAGCUGCUGUAGCUCUGGCUGUAAGAAGAGCUGUUGCUAAGACCAGCUCCUAAGCCCUUGGUUCAUUUCAGCUGGGAGUCUGGAGGACAGGAGUCAGUUGUCCCCAGGAACACUUCUGCAAAUCUGUAAUCCCAGUGUAGAGAUCCAUGUUGCAUGUUCUUUGUUCCAAAAAUGCAGACAACUCAAUACAGUUGCUCAUUUUUAGACUUUAUAUUAUGAGAGGAAAGCAACUGCUAUAAUCGUGGGGGCAUGGAGCAGAGUGGACAGAGUGUAGGCUUUGGAGACAGAGCUAGGUUUACUUUUCUCUGUUCCCUUUGACCUUGAACUUUUCUGAGUUUCAUUAUUAGUAAAGCAGAGGUAAUAAAUGCCCAUCUGAUUUAAGAAAACAAUAAAUUGAAGCUAUAUUUCUAAAUCGUAACAAUAUCUUCUAAGCCCAAAUACUGUUUUUCAAAUAUUCCAAAGAGAUAGAUGGCAGCUUGCUUCCUUUAUCAUUGGUUGGCUUCAGCAGCUAUGACAUUUACCCCCAGUACAACCAUUUUUCGUUGAGACAAAUGCCUUUUCUCCUCAGAGGAUCUUCCUCUUCCUGACAGAGCCCAGAGGAUCCCCGUGAACCUCCUUCCGCUCCCUCCCCUCGGGAUCUAGGAUCAUACUAGCCCUGUCUCAUUGCACUCAUUACUCAGCCCAGGGAGGACUGGUAAGAAGUCCCUCUGUGGCUUAUUGACAUCAACUCUGAGGAUGUGCAAGAUGGAUUAAGAAAAGGCAUCUGAUAGCUUUUACUUUUCAGGAAGCCAAAUGUUUUUCAAAUCAGAAGCCAAAGGAUUUAGCACAGGGAGGCUAGGACUGCAUUUCUGUCAAGGGGGAGACAGCUAAACUCCCUUUCCCCUGAGGCCCUUCUGUAUUUCCCACUGGGCUGCACUGCCCUGUCAUGCUUUAAGCCUUCCCUUCCUGGU